Long non-coding RNA from Spodoptera frugiperda (fall armyworm), 337 nucleotides. RefSeq lists it as uncharacterized. NCBI's taxonomy places the organism in Eukaryota, Metazoa, Arthropoda, Insecta, Lepidoptera, Noctuidae. The transcript is spliced from 2 exons. The record is from RefSeq and is a predicted model, not a curated record.
AUUUACAGUACCAGCGCUUAGGAUUACCUCCUUUCUGGCAUAAAAGCAGUACUUUUUUGAGUUUCGCUCUAACUCCACACCAUAAGUAGUUUUUGUAUAAGGAUUUAUCAACAACUUUGUUACCAAACUAUUUUUUAGGAUCUUAAGGUUACUUCUAUGAAGAAUGGGAUUUAAAUACGCUUUGUUAUGACUCUGUCUUUCCCCACUAGCAGCUGUGACUCUCAAAAAUCCUGAUCCUAAAGAGUUUGCCACAUUAUAAUCAGCCACAUUUUUUAUCCCUAUUUCGUUCCAAGCAGAAUACAUUUUUUCCGUAAGAAACAUAUUGGUUGUGUUGAAA